RNAcentral lists this ribosomal RNA (253 nucleotides) under uncultured bacterium. RNAcentral's name for it is "partial 16S ribosomal RNA". It matches the Rfam family "Bacterial small subunit ribosomal RNA", at positions 524 to 776 of the family's 1533-position model. The record is from RNAcentral.
UACGUAGGGUGCGAGCGUUAAUCGGAAUUACUGGGCGUAAAGCGUGCGCAGGCGGCGCGUCAAGACAGGUGUGAAAGCCCCGAGCUUAACUUGGGAAUUGCGCUUGUGACUGGCGUGCUGGAGUGUGGCAGAGGGAGGUGGAAUUCCACGUGUAGCAGUGAAAUGCGUAGAGAUGUGGAGGAACACCGAUGGCGAAGGCAGCCUCCUGGGCCAGCACUGACGCUCAUGCACGAAAGCGUGGGGAGCAAACAGG